GACGAACGCUGGCGGCAUGCUUAACACAUGCAAGUCGAACGGAAAGGCCUCUUUCGGGGGGUACUCGAGUGGCGAACGGGUGAGUAACACGUGAGUAACCUGCCCUUGACUUUGGGAUAACUUCAGGAAACUGGGGCUAAUACCGGAUAGGAGCUCCUGCUGCAUGGUGGGGGUUGGAAAGUUUCGGCGGUUGGGGAUGGACUCGCGGCUUAUCAGCUUGUUGGUGGGGUAGUGGCUUACCAAGGCUUUGACGGGUAGCCGGCCUGAGAGGGUGACCGGCCACAUUGGGACUGAGAUACGGCCCAGACUCCUACGGGAGGCAGCAGUGGGGAAUAUUGCACAAGGGGUGGAAGCCUGAUGCAGCAACGCCGUGUGCGGGAUGACGGCCUUCGGGUUGUAAACCGCUUUCGCUCAUGACGAAGCUUUGUGUGACGGUAGUGGGUAAAGAAGCACCGGCUAACUACGUG
Molecule: ribosomal RNA, 467 nt
Filed under: uncultured bacterium
Lineage: Bacteria
Description: partial 16S ribosomal RNA
Rfam family: Bacterial small subunit ribosomal RNA
Source: RNAcentral